Molecule: long non-coding RNA, 926 nt
Organism: Chelmon rostratus (copperband butterflyfish)
Lineage: Eukaryota; Metazoa; Chordata; Actinopteri; Chaetodontiformes; Chaetodontidae
Exons: 3
Source: RefSeq, a predicted model, not a curated record
CCGCUUCUCCGACACGUCUGACGGAAACUCUGCCCGGAAACACCCGAGCUAAUCGGAACCAACGGCCGACGGAGACGGACGGGUCUUGUGAGUUACGAGGGGGUCGACUAGGUGUGACUUGCUGUGUUGGCGACGGUGGUGAUGGGAGGCGAGCAAAGUCAUGAGAGGACGGAGCGAGAAGAGGAGACUGAAAAACAGCAAGAAUCUGCAAAUAGUGACAGCUCAGGAUCUGCCUCUUCUGAAGACACCCCAGGAGAGCUCCCCCAGUGCCAGAUGGGAAACAGGAGGGUGGACAACAUGUGUUUCAUGAUCUCGUGCACCAACUGGUACUAAACUGGCCCUGGUGCAGCGGGUGAAUGAAACAGAUUGUGGGAACUGUGGGAGAAGGUGGAGUCUGAAUUGGGGUCGGACGAUGCAUUCACAAAUCCACGGAAAAUCCAGAUUGAAGCCGUUGCUGAAGUCCCACAUGCUCGCUGCGCUGUUCCACUGCUGCUCAUUAGAGGACUUUUUUGGAAACGCUGUGGUGUUAAUGAGUAGUUAGAAGAUGAGCGGGGACUUCUUUAAUGCUGGCUGCUGCUCAUUUGUCUAAACCUUUCACCUGCUCUUCAUGACACCUUUCCUGUAUCUACUGUUUCUGUACUAAUGGGAAAACAUCAGAGGGUUUGUUCGGAUGUUGAAACAUCGGGGGCUUAAAGCCAAGACAACUGCUGACUGUCAUAAACAAAGUAUUAUUACAGCCAAAGUCAAAGAAAUCUACUGAUUACUGUGUUUGAAUGUGUUUCUCUUCAUUCUUUGGGAGGUUUAAAGUAUAUAAUAAUAAUAUUUGCUUGGCGGCUGGUUGAAAUCCUUCGACUGACAGUUCACUGAAUUAAUGAGGUCUGAAUUUGGGCCACGUCAACCAUUUCCACAGUGACGACUGAAAUAAA